GCAAUAAUAGCUUAACUUUAGUAAAGCAAUGGCCUUGUAAGUCGUAGAUAUUCUUUUUAUUGCU
This 64-nucleotide transfer RNA is filed under the name Obscurella hidalgoi. Its description in RNAcentral is "tRNA-Thr". Lineage: Eukaryota; Metazoa; Mollusca; Gastropoda; Architaenioglossa; Cochlostomatidae. The record is from RNAcentral.